RNAcentral lists this ribosomal RNA (622 nucleotides) under uncultured bacterium. Its description in RNAcentral is "bacterial SSU rRNA". It matches the Rfam family "Bacterial small subunit ribosomal RNA", at positions 97 to 728 of the family's 1533-position model. The record is from RNAcentral.
GGCGAACGGGUGAGUAACAAGUGAGUAACCUGCCCUGGACUCUGGGAUAACCCCGAGAAAUCGGAGUUAAUACCGGAUAGGACCAGGCCCUGCAUGGGGUGUGGUGGAAUGUUUUCGGUGUGGGAUGGACUCGCGGCCUAUCAGCUUGUUGGUGAGGUAAUCGCUCACCAAGGCGUCGACGGGUAGCCGGCCUGAGAGCGUGACCGGCCACACUGGGACUGACACACGGCCCAGACUCUACGGCAGGCAGCAGUGGGGAAUAUUGCACAAUGGGCGCAAGCAUGAUGCAGCAACGCCGCGUGCGGGAUGACGCCCUUCGGGUUGUAAACCGCUUUUAGUAAGGAAGAAGGACAGCUUGCUCCUUGACGGUACUUGCAGAAAAAGGACCGGCUAACUACCUGCCAGCAGCCGCGGUAAUACGUAGGGUCCGAGCGUUCUCCGGAAUUAUUGGGCGUAAAGAGCUCGUAGGCGGUUUGUCGCGUCUGCCCUGAAAUCCUCAGGCUCAACCUGAGGUCUGCGGUGGGUACGGGCAGACUAGAGUGGUGUAGGGGAGACUGGAAUUCCUGGUGUAGCGGUGGAAUGCGCAGAUAUCAGGAGCAACACCGAUGGCGAAGGCAGGUCU